UGGGGAAUAUUGGACAAUGGGCGCAAGCCUGAUCCAGCCAUGCCGCGUGAGUGAUGAAGGCCCUAGGGUUGUAAAGCUCUUUCACCGGUGAAGAUAAUGACGGUAACCGGAGAAGAAGCCCCGGCUAACUUCGUGCCAGCAGCCGCGGUAAUACGAAGGGGGCUAGCGUUGUUCGGAUUUACUGGGCGUAAAGCGCACGUAGGCGGACUAUUAAGUCAGGGGUGAAAUCCCGGGGCUCAACCCCGGAACUGCCUUUGAUACUGGUAGUCUUGAGUUGGAGAGAGGUGAGUGGAAUUCCGAGUGUAGAGGUGAAAUUCGUAGAUAUACGGAGGAACACCAGUGGCGAAGGCGGCUCACUGGCUCGAUACUGACGCUGAGGUGCGAAAGCGUGGGGAGCAAACAGG
This 404-nucleotide ribosomal RNA is filed under the name Actinomycetes bacterium. Its description in RNAcentral is "Actinobacteria bacterium partial 16S ribosomal RNA". It matches the Rfam family "Bacterial small subunit ribosomal RNA", at positions 355 to 776 of the family's 1533-position model. The record is from RNAcentral. Lineage: Bacteria; Bacillati; Actinomycetota; Actinomycetes.